RNAcentral lists this long non-coding RNA (462 nucleotides) under Nicotiana benthamiana. RNAcentral describes it as "long non-coding RNA (NBEN_LNC011611)". Lineage: Eukaryota; Viridiplantae; Streptophyta; Magnoliopsida; Solanales; Solanaceae. The record is from RNAcentral.
GAUGGGGGAGGCUGCAGCAUGAGGAUGUUGCCCCUAACUCCAACAUAUGUAUCGUUAAGCCCCAUGAGAAAUUGAUGCAACUUGUUUUCAUCAUCCUCAUUUUGAAGCUCGAGUCUGGCAGCACAUGUACAAGUGCUACCACGGGAUACACGCAUAAAACCCAACUCAUCCCACAAUCUCUUCAGCUUGUUGAAGUAAGAUGCUAUAUCUAAAGAUCCUCGACUAGUGCUAACUCUUUCUUAAUCUCAAAUAUUUUGGUACCAUUCACAGUCCCAUACCUACUAUUAAGCUGAGUCCAAAUACUUUGAGCAGUGUCAGAAUACUGAAUACUCUCAGCUAUCUCUGGCGUAAGAGAAUUAGUGAGCCAAGAGAUAACCAUAUAAUUACACCUAUCCCGCUGCCUAGAAUGAGGGGAAUUUUCCAGAGGUUUGGGAACUGUUCCAUCAACAAAACCUAUCUUAU